This 121-nucleotide small RNA is filed under the name Marmota monax (woodchuck). The record is from RNAcentral. Lineage: Eukaryota; Metazoa; Chordata; Mammalia; Rodentia; Sciuridae.
GCUGGGUGUGGUGGUGCAAGCCUGUAAUCCCAGUGACUCAGAAGGCUGAGGCAGGAGGAUUACGAGUUCAAAACCUCAGCAAAAGUGAGGCAAUAAGCAACUCAGUAAGACCCUGUCUCUA